GUCCCCGUCAUCUAGAGGCCUAGGAUGGCACCCUUUCAAGGUGCAUACACGGGUUCGAAUCCCGUCGGGGACA
RNAcentral lists this transfer RNA (73 nucleotides) under Myxococcaceae bacterium. RNAcentral's name for it is "tRNA-Glu". It matches the Rfam family "tRNA". From Rfam's summary of the family: Transfer RNA (tRNA) molecules are approximately 80 nucleotides in length. Their secondary structure includes four short double-helical elements and three loops (D, anti-codon, and T loops). Further hydrogen bonds mediate the characteristic L-shaped molecular structure. tRNAs have two regions of fundamental functional importance: the anti-codon, which is responsible for specific mRNA codon recognition, and the 3' end, to which the tRNAs corresponding amino acid is attached (by aminoacyl-tRNA synthetases). tRNAs cope with the degeneracy of the genetic code in two manners: having more than one tRNA (with a specific anti-codon) for a particular amino acid; and 'wobble' base-pairing, i.e. permitting non-standard base-pairing at the 3rd anti-codon position. The record is from RNAcentral. Lineage: Bacteria; Pseudomonadati; Myxococcota; Myxococcia; Myxococcales; Myxococcaceae.